UACGAAGGGGGCUAGCGUUGCUCGGAAUCACUGGGCGUAAAGAGCGUGUAGGCGGCCACGCAGGUCCGUUGUGAAAACUGGAGGCUCAACCUCCAGCUGUCGACGGAAACCGUAUGGCUAGAGUCCGGAAGAGGAGAGUGGAAUUCCUGGUGUAGCGGUGAAAUGCGCAGAUAUCAGGAGGAACACCGGUGGCGAAGGCGGAUCUCUGGGCCUUACCUGACGCUCAGGCGCGAAAGCUAGGGGAGCGAACAGG
Molecule: ribosomal RNA, 253 nt
Filed under: uncultured bacterium
Lineage: Bacteria
Description: partial 16S ribosomal RNA
Rfam family: Bacterial small subunit ribosomal RNA
Source: RNAcentral